GACGAACGCUGGCGGCGUGCUUAACACAUGCAAGUCGAACGGAGAGGACCUUCAGGGUACUCUAGUGGCGAACGGGUGAGUAACACUUGGGGGAGCUGGGCGGCACUUUGGGAUGAGACUUGGAAACUGGAUCUAAUACGCAAUAUGAUCAUGUGCUUCAUAGUAGAUGGUGGAAAGCUUAUGCGGGGUGGGAUGGGACCGCGGCCUAUCAGAUUGUUGGUGGGGUAAUGGCCUAACAAGGCGACGACGGUAAGCCGGCCUGAGAGGGUGACCGGCCACACUGGGACUGAGAUACGGCCCAGACCAAUCCGGGAGGCAGCAGUGGGGAAGAUUGCACAACGGGAGCAAGCCUGCUGCAGCGACGCCGCGUGAGGGAUGACGGCAUUCGGGUUGUAACCCUCUUUCAGGACAGACGAAGAGAAAGUGACGGUAUCUUAAGAAGAAGGCCCGGCCAACUACGUG
Molecule: ribosomal RNA, 462 nt
Filed under: uncultured bacterium
Lineage: Bacteria
Description: partial 16S ribosomal RNA
Rfam family: Bacterial small subunit ribosomal RNA
Source: RNAcentral